Molecule: transfer RNA, 97 nt
Filed under: compost metagenome
Description: tRNA-Arg
Source: RNAcentral
CUGCGAAAUGGCGAGGUCAGGCCGCGCACGCGGGCUUCGAUCUCGCGCAUCUUGGCCUCCGGGUCUGACGCCGCUUCGAUCUCGGCUUUGUAGGCCA